This 1601-nucleotide ribosomal RNA is filed under the name human gut metagenome. Its description in RNAcentral is "bacterial LSU rRNA". It matches the Rfam family "Bacterial large subunit ribosomal RNA", at positions 848 to 2445 of the family's 2925-position model. The record is from RNAcentral.
UCUCGUUCUCCCCGAAAUAGCUUUAGGGCUAGCCUCGAUCGCUUACCCGCGGUGGUAGAGCACUGGAUCCGUGCGGGGGCCUCACCGCCUACCAACCGAAACCAAACUCCGAAUGCCGCGGGUCCCGAGAUCGGGAGUCAGAACAUGUGGGCUAAGCCGUGUGUUCGAGAGGGAAACAGCCCAGACCGCCUGCUAAGGUCCCCAAAUCAACGCUGAGUGGCAAAGGAUGUGCGUUUGCCUAGACAACCAGGAUGUUGGCUUAGAAGCAGCCAUGCAUUUAAAGAGUGCGUAACAGCUCACUGGUCAAGUGGACAUGCGCCGACAAUACACGGGGCUAAGCGUUGUACCGAAGCAGCGGACUGUCUUAACAGUGGUAGGGGAGCUUUCCAUGCCGGGCCGAAGCGGAAGGGCGACCUUCCGUGGACUGCAUGGAAGUGAGAAUGCUGGCAUGAGUAACGAGAGAGGGGCGGGAAACCCCUCCGCCGUAAGCCUAAGGGUUCCUGGGCAAGGCUAAUCCCCCCAGGGUCAGUCGGGAGCUAAGGCGAGGCCGAGAGGCGUAGCCGAUGCGCAACAGGCGGACAUUCCUGUACCACCAGCCAGCGUUUGACGACGGGGCGACGGAGAAGGGUAGCCGGGCGGGGUUCUGGACGUCCCCGUGAAAGCGCGUAGGGAGAGCGGCAGGCAAAUCCGCCGCUCGCAUGUCCCGAGACGCGAGACGAAGCUUCAUGCGAAGCCGGCGAGCCCAUGCUUCCGAGAAAAACCUCUAAGGAGCUGAGCUGGUGCCCGUACCAAAACCGACACAGGUAGGCGGGUAGAGCAUACCAAGGCGAUCGGGAGAACCAUGGUUAAGGAACUCGGCAUACCGACUCCGUAACUUCGGGAGAAGGAGUGCCCUCUGCUGUGGAGCCCCUCGCGGGCCGAGCGGCGGAGGGUCGCAGCGAAACGGCCCAAGCGACUGUUUACCAAAAACACAGGACUCUGCUAAGCCGCAAGGCGACGUAUAGGGUCUGACGCCUGCCCGGUGCUGGAAGGUUACGCGGAUGGGUUAGCGCAAGCGAAGCCCUGAAGCCAAGCCCCAGUAAACGGCGGCCGUAACUAUAACGGUCCUAAGGUAGCGAAAUUCCUUGUCGGGUAAGUUCCGACCUGCACGAAUGGCGUAACGACUUGGGCGCUGUCUCAACCAUGGACCCGGUGAAAUUGUAUUAUUCGUGAAGAUGCGAAUUACCUGCGGAAGGACGGAAAGACCCCGUGAACCUUUACUGCAGCUUGGCAUUGGCUGUUGGUGCGGUGCGUAGAGGAUAGGCAGGAGCCUGCGAACCGGGAACGCCAGUUCCCGGGGAGGCGCCCUUGGAAUACUGCCCUCACCGCAUCGGCAGCCUAACGCGCCGCCCUCAUCGGGGGCGCGGACCGUGCCAGGUGGGUAGUUUGACUGGGGCGGUCGCCUCCUAAAACGUAACGGAGGCGUGCUAAGGUUCGCUCAGGGCGGUCGGCAAUCGCCCGCAGAGCACAAGAGUACAAGCGAGCCUGACUGCGAGACCCACAAGUCGAGCAGAGACGAAAGUCGGUUCUAGUGAUCCGGCGGCCCAGCGUGGAAUGGCCGU